This is a long non-coding RNA of Hypanus sabinus (Atlantic stingray), 760 nucleotides long. RefSeq lists it as uncharacterized. The record is from RefSeq and is a predicted model, not a curated record. The transcript is spliced from 3 exons. Lineage: Eukaryota; Metazoa; Chordata; Chondrichthyes; Myliobatiformes; Dasyatidae.
CGUGUGGUAUUCCGGAGAAUGUAAAAUUGGACACCAUGGUAGCGUAGCUGUUAGCGAGACGCUAUUACAGUUGGAGUUUGGAGUUCAAAGCUGGCGUCCUCUGUAAGGAGUCACCGUGGGGCGCGUGGGUUUCCUCCCACAGUCUAAAUUGGUCAUUGUGGAGCCUGUUCCCCAAAGUGAAUGAUGUCAGUGCUUGAUUUGAAAUGCUGCCUGACCUGCUGAGCUCCUCCAUUUUGUACAAGUUGCUCUGGAUUUCCAACAUCUAAACUCCGCCAAGCAACCUUCUUCCAGGACUACCUCUGGUAACCCCUUCCAGAAACCCACCACCCUCUACCUCAAACUUACCCCUCACACUGCCUUUAAACAUUGAAGUUCAAAGCGACUUCAUUAUCAAAAAUGGGACCCACGGCCGGCUGCUUUUCGAUAUGCCAAGGACGCAGCCUAGGAGACCAGCGUGCCUUUAGGGCGCUGGAAUUCUGUGGUUCUGGAAGCGGGCUGAUUCAGGACCACCAACGACUGAUGGGAAAACAAGGAAGAUCGGAAGCAGCGGGCUUACAGCUGGCUGUGUGCCCAGAGGCACAGAGCUCGGAAAGAACGAUGCAACAGACUCUUAACAGCGUAUAUCAGUGAGUUGUUUGUUAUGUGGAAGGGGGACACCUCUUUAAGGGAUUCUUAGAGAGAGAGAGAGCCUGUGGUAUGUCGAAUACAGGGUGAACGGGUUGUCUUUGGGGUACUGUAAGAAUGUGUCUUUAUUGAUGCU